Molecule: ribosomal RNA, 496 nt
Filed under: uncultured bacterium
Lineage: Bacteria
Description: partial 16S ribosomal RNA
Rfam family: Bacterial small subunit ribosomal RNA
Source: RNAcentral
AUGAACGCUGGCGGCGUGCCUAAUACAUGCAAGUCGAGCGAACAGAUGAGGAGCUUGCUCCUCUGACGUUAGCGGCGGACGGGUGAGUAACACGUGGAUAACCUACCUAUAAGACUGGGAUAACUUCGGGAAACCGGAGCUAAUACCAGAUAAUAUAUUGAACCGCAUGGUUCAAUAGUGAAAGACGGUUUUGCUGUCACUUAUAGAUGGAUCCGCGCCGCAUUAGCUAGUUGGUAAGGUAACGGCUUACCAAGGCAACGAUGCGUAGCCGACCUGAGAGGGUGAUCGGCAACAAUGGAACUGAGACACGGUCAAGACUCCUACGGGAGGCAGCAGUAGGGAAUCUUCCGCAAUGGGCGAAAGCCUGACGGAGCAACGCCGCGUGAGUGAUGAAGGUCUUCGGAUCGUAAAACUCUGUUAUUAGGGAAGAACAAAUGUGUAAGUAACUAUGCACGUCUUGACGGUACCUAAUCAGAAAGCCACGGCUAACUACGUG